This 497-nucleotide ribosomal RNA is filed under the name uncultured bacterium. RNAcentral's name for it is "partial 16S ribosomal RNA". It matches the Rfam family "Bacterial small subunit ribosomal RNA", at positions 28 to 507 of the family's 1533-position model. The record is from RNAcentral.
GAUGAACGCUGGCGGCGUGCCUAAUACAUGCAAGUCGAGCGAACAGACGAGGAGCUUGCUCCUCUGACGUUAGCGGCGGACGGGUGAGUAACACGUGGAUAACCUACCUAUAAGACUGGGAUAACUUCGGGAAACCGGAGCUAAUACCGGAUAAUAUAUUGAACCGCAUGGUUCAAUAGUGAAAGACGGUUUUGCUGUCACUUAUAGAUGGAUCCGCGCCGCAUUAGCUAGUUGGUAAGGUAACGGCUUACCAAGGCGACGAUGCGUAGCCGACCUGAGAGGGUGAUCGGCCACACUGGAACUGAGACACGGUCCAGACUCCUACGGGAGGCCGCAGUAGGGAAUCUUCCGCAAUGGGCGAAAGCCUGACGGAGCAACGCCGCGUGAGUGAUGAAGGUCUUCGGAUCGUAAAACUCUGUUAUUAGGGAAGAACAAAUGUGUACGUAACUAUGCACGUCUUGACGGUACCUAAUCAGAAAGCCCCGGCUAACUACGUG